UUUAUAUGGGAUAAAGAAGGUAACUCCUUUUCAUUUCUUUUUCUUGUUUGAAGUAUGUCUCUAAUACUUUGUGUUGCUUAUUAUACACUCGAGUAGAAAAGGGCUUUUUUGUGUUGGGGUGGGGAUGGUUGUGGGCAAAGAUUUCUUAUCCCAAAAAUAAUUUUUGGGUAAUGCUAAUAAUAGAGAGCAAUUGAAAUUUGUUGAAAAUUGAUCAAUAAGGGUAUGAAUCAUAUUAGCAUUACUGCCUAUUAUCACCAUAUCAUCAACGUAAAACAGCAAAUAGAUGACACCAUGAGAGCCAUUAUAAACAAAUAGGAAUGAGUCAGCCUGACUAGCAACAAAGUCAAGGCUGAACAAAGAGAAGCUGAACCUUUGAAACCAUGCCCUUGGAGCCUGUUUAAGAUCAUAGAGAGCUCGCUGCAUGCGACAUACAUGAGUGGGUAUUGUCGUAUUGAGAAUUAACAUAACCUGGAGGUUGUUCUUUUUUCUUCUUUUGAAAGAUGGCCAUGCAAGAUAACAUUUUUAAUGUCAAGCUGGUGAAGAUGUCAAUUGUGCAUAGCAGUAGAAGAAAGGAUUAUUUGAACUGUGGCAGGACGAACAAUCCGACUGAAAAUCUUUUCAAAGUUGAUGUCAUGUUUUUGAUAAAAUCUCUGUGCUACUGGACGAGCUUUAUGAUGUUCUAUAGUACCAUCUGCAUGAAAUUUAAUUUUAAAAAUCCAAUGACAACCCACAACAUUAUGAAUAGAAGGUCAAGGUACCAGUCGCCAAGUGUUAUUUUGCCUGAGAGCUACUAUUUCAUAUUUCUAUUGUAGUAAGCCAUUCCUGAUGUUUUAAGGCUAAUUUAAAAUCCCGUAGCUCUUAAAUAGCAAGAUGUAUCUGAAACCAUGGAGGAGAUGACAAAGUAAUUAAGGAAUGAAUAUUAACAAGCUUAACAAUAUCAUUCCUUAUAUGAGUAAUCAUAGGAUGUGGAGUUGGUGGCGAUAUAAUGAGGAAGAAUUAAGUGGAAUGACAUCUGAAGCAGUCAGAGACUCGGACGGAGGAACGUCAGAUGCUGCUGAAGGAUGCACAGAAUCGAGAAGAUAAAACGUACAAUCAUGGUUAGCACAUGGGAUACACUGAGAAAAUGCCUUGUGAUACUUCGAAGUCAUAUCUGGGGGUGCAUUUUGUGCACAAUACAAAGAAUGAUUAAUAGGAUCAAAAAAAGGGGACACAAUUAGUGAAAACAUGAGAUGGAAGAGUGGAGUAUUUGUAAGGAAAAUGAUCCUUAAAAAAUUGCACAUGACGAGGGAUAUAAAUAUGGUAAGAUUUUGUAUCUAAACAAUGAGAACAUUUUGCAGUGAACUGUAGCCUAAAAAUAUGCAUGGGAAAGUAGAGAGUUGUGAGGAAUAUAGUCACGAAGAAAAGGAAAACAUAAAUAUCCAAGAGUUUGGAGAGAGGAGUAAGAAUGAACUUUAUCAUACAAUACUUCAUGAGGUGUCUUGCCACCAAGAAUCGGUGAUGGGAGCCGAUUGAUGAGAUAACAAGCUGUAGAGAAAGACUCGACUCACAAUUUUAAAGGAACAUGAGAAUGAAGGAGCAAGAUGAGUCUGGUUUCACUGAUAUGCCUAUGUUUACGCUCGGCAAUGCCAUUUUCCUUUGGGUGUAAGGAUAACAUAUGCGUUGAACUAUAUCACAUCAUGAAGAUAAGAAGUGAAUUUGUUAUUUGUGAACUCUAUUCCAUCAUUACAUUAGAAUGAUUUUAUGCUCCUAUCAAAUUGGUUUUUGACACAAAUGACAAAACGGACAAAAAUAUCAAAGAAAUAUGAUUUGAACUUGAG
This 1817-nucleotide long non-coding RNA is filed under the name Olea europaea subsp. europaea. The record is from RNAcentral. Lineage: Eukaryota; Viridiplantae; Streptophyta; Magnoliopsida; Lamiales; Oleaceae.